RNAcentral lists this ribosomal RNA (642 nucleotides) under uncultured archaeon. RNAcentral describes it as "bacterial SSU rRNA". It matches the Rfam family "Archaeal small subunit ribosomal RNA", at positions 187 to 813 of the family's 1478-position model. The record is from RNAcentral.
CCAAAGGACUUUGGAAACAUGCUUCCAUUGUCGCCUGGGGAUGGGGCCGCGUCCGAUCAUGUUGUUGGUGAGGUAAUGGCUCACCAACCCUAUAACCGGUACGGGCCGUGAGAGCGGUAGCCUGGAGAUGGGCACUGAGACAAGGGCCCAGGCCCUACGGGGCGCAGCACUCGCGAAAACUCCGCAAUGCACGAAAGUGUGACGGGGCUACCCCGAGUGCCGUCCGCUGAGGAUGGCUUUUCCCCGGUGUAACUAGCCGGGGGAAUAAGGAGAGGGCAAGACUGGUGUCACCCGCCGCGGUAAUACCAGCUCUCCGAGUGGUAGGGAUGAUUAUUGGGCUUAAAGCGUCCGUAGCCGGCUUAGCAAGUCUCCUGUUAAAUUCAGCGACCUAAUCGUUGAGCCGCGGGAGAUACUACUAGGCUAGGAGGCGGGAGAGGUCGACGGUACUUUCGGGGUAGGGGUGAAAUCCUAUAAUCCCGGGAGGACCACCAGUGGCGAAGGCUGUCGACUAGAACGCGCUCGACGGUGAGGGACGAAAGCUGGGGGAGCGAACCGGAUUAGAUACCCGGGUAGUCCCAGCUGUAAACGAUGCGGGCUAGGUGUUGGGGUGGCUACGUGCCACUUCAGUGCCGCAGGGAAGCC